GUACACAAAAAUGCACAUAUUGUGAGCUCGAUGAGUAGGGCGGGACACGUGGUAUCCUGUCUGAAUAUGGGGGGACCAUCCUCCAAGGCUAAAUACUCCUGACUGACCGAUAGUGAACCAGUACCGUGAGGGAAAGGCGAAAAGAACCCCGGCGAGGGGAGUGAAAAAGAACCUGAAACCGUGUACGUACAAGCAGUGGGAGCCUCUUUAUGGGGUGACUGCGUACCUUUUGUAUAAUGGGUCAGCGACUUAUAUUCUGUAGCAAGGUUAACCGAAUAGGGGAGCCGAAGGGAAACCGAGUCUUAACUGGGCGUUAAGUUGCAGGGUAUAGACCCGAAACCCGGUGAUCUAGCCAUGGGCAGGUUGAAGGUUGGGUAACACUAACUGGAGGACCGAACCGACUAAUGUUGAAAAAUUAGCGGAUGACUUGUGGCUGGGGGUGAAAGGCCAAUCAAACCGGGAGAUAGCUGGUUCUCCCCGAAAGCUAUUUAGGUAGCGCCUCGUGAAUUCAUCUCCGGGGGUAGAGCACUGUUUCGGCAAGGGGGUCAUCCCGACUUACCAACCCGAUGCAAACUGCGAAUACCGGAGAAUGUUAUCACGGGAGACACACGGCGGGUGCUAACGUCCGUCGUGAAGAGGGAAACAACCCAGACCGCCAGCUAAGGUCCCAAAGUCAUGGUUAAGUGGGAAACGAUGUGGGAAGGCCCAGACAGCCAGGAUGUUGGCUUAGAAGCAGCCAUCAUUUAAAGAAAGCGUAAUAGCUCACUGGUCGAGUCGGCCUGCGCGGAAGAUGUAACGGGGCUAAACCAUGCACCGAAGCUGCGGCAGCGACACUAUGUGUUGUUGGGUAGGGGAGCGUUCUGUAAGCCUGUGAAGGUGGCCUGUGAGGGUUGCUGGAGGUAUCAGAAGUGCGAAUGCUGACAUAAGUAACGAUAAAGCGGGUGAAAAGCCCGCUCGCCGGAAGACCAAGGGUUCCUGUCCAACGUU
Molecule: ribosomal RNA, 987 nt
Filed under: Escherichia coli
Lineage: Bacteria; Pseudomonadati; Pseudomonadota; Gammaproteobacteria; Enterobacterales; Enterobacteriaceae
Description: partial 23S ribosomal RNA
Rfam family: Bacterial large subunit ribosomal RNA
Source: RNAcentral